This is a long non-coding RNA of Equus quagga, 3029 nucleotides long. RefSeq lists it as uncharacterized. The record is from RefSeq and is a predicted model, not a curated record. NCBI's taxonomy places the organism in Eukaryota, Metazoa, Chordata, Mammalia, Perissodactyla, Equidae. The transcript is spliced from 4 exons.
GAAGAAGGAGAGAAGAUUGGGGCAUUUAUUGCCUCAGCUCCCUCUUGUUAUGUCCCCACAAUGUGGGGGACCCUUCACCUUGGCUCAUUUUAGGAAGUCCCUUAUAGACAGGUCCCUGUUCCAGUAGCCAGUCCUUCCCUUUUGCUUUUUCAGAUUAAGGAGGGUUUUAUGAUUCAUUUUAGUUCAUUCAACAAAUAUUUGUUGAGGACCUAUUAUGUGUAAGGCACUAGUGUGGAAAAGGCACAAUACUUUGUCCUUAUAGAGUCUAAUGUCUGGAAGGAAGAGAAACAUUAAGUAAAGUCACAAUUAAAAUAGCUACAUACUGUGAUAAGGACCAUGUCGGAGGAGUAUAGGAUGCCUGAUGAAGACUCAAGGCAAGAGGAAACCAAAUGUGUGCACCAGUGUAUGUGAAUGCUUUGGAGCAGGAAGGAACUCAGCACAUAUGAGAAACUGAAAUAAGACUAGUAAGGCUGUAGCACAGUGAAUGAAGGAGAACCAAGGUCAACGACAAAAUUCAACAAUGGAUUAGCUUUGGGUCCACCCUAUUUCCAACACUACUACCACUGAUAUCUUCUUGAACAUCACUAGGAAUGGAAAGAACGAGAGCCAAGGAAGUGCCCCAGGAUGCGGACCAGUGAUGACGUUGGUAAUUUGACCUGGACCCCAAAGAUGCACAGGACUAGGACAGGCUUCCGAGGAGAACAGACUAACUGUCACGGAGGUGUGGAGGCAAGAGCAAUGUAAAGUUUUCUUCUAUUUUAUGGUGUCUAUGCUGUACUAUGAAACUGUGUCCUUUACUGAAGGUCCAGGAAGCAAGCCCAUGAACCCUUUCAGAGGUGGACCUACCAUGAAGUUGAUGGAGCUCAAGCCUCAAUGUCCCUCCCUUGAGCAGGGCCCUUUGAAGACACUGGGAGUGGACAAAUGAUUUGUGUUAUUUGUAAAAGUAAGAUAUUCUAACCAUUAUCAACUAGACUGUUGUUCUUUCCCACUCUGACUUUCCCUAUGGCACACUUCUCCUGGGUCAGGUGGUGUUGGAAUGGCUGCUGGCAUUUUUGACAUCCAACUAAAAGGAAGUUGAGUUGGGGGACUCAUUUGGUUUGAAGUUAGUGGGAUGUAUUUAGGUUACUCUCAUUUCUACGUAUCGUAAGUUGCUGCUAUCUCUCCUGGUAUAUCAAUGGUUCUAAGCAAUAUUCCUAUUGCCUACUGUGCCACUUCUCUGACAUCAUGACAUUAAGGCUAGAAGUUGUAUUGUAAUGGAAUGUACCUAACUCUAGAAGGUUGUGGGUGGUGGAGGAGAAACAAGAUUUGAAAAUUCUUCCAAACAUCAGAUACAUAAAUUUAUGAAUAGAAAAAAAGAUCCAUUUUUAUGGAAGCCUGCUCCGAACAGACAUUCUUUACUAGCAAGAAUAUACUCGAUAAUUCAAUAUGUACAAUUUUAAAUGCACCACGUACUUUCUUCUUUUUUGAUGGAAUUGUACAAAAGAGAAUUUAUGAAAAUUUCUGCGUUUUUAGGGCACAAAUCUGUCAUAGAACUACAAAUAUCAGGUAUGGCUGUGCAUUCAGCCAUGUAUUUUAUGCAGCCCAACUAUAAUCAAAAUCAAAAUAUAAUCAUUCUUUGAUCAGCCAUGUUAAACAAAAGACUGAAUUAUUUUUUUCUUGGAAAUUGAGUUUUACAGAAUUGAUGUCAUAAAUGUAAAAAAUUAAUAAUUAAUUUAUAUAGAUUUUGUGCAAUUUGUGGUAUUUGUUAGCUUUUUAAAAUUUGCAGUUGGUGUCAAUUUCUCUUCUCUUUGGAAUAAUACUCACUUUUUAAUUUAAUUUGUAUUCAUUUUUUAAAGGAACCCCCUAAUUUUAUAAGCUUUGACCAUACAAAGACUGUAUCUGCUCUGGUUCCAUUCUUAAGCAUCUUAUGACAAUUUUACCAGGGCAACAGUGUCACCAAAGUUCUCAACUUGCAGGAUUUUCAUACUCCUCUCUCCCUCUUUUGUUGUCAUUGGAAGACCCAAUGACUUCUUAUUCUCCUAAACCUGCAGAGAGGGAGAAGAUGUGAAUUAAGAUGUGAAUUAUUUAGCCUCAGAGAUAUCAGACCACACAGAGCACUUUAUUCGGAGGAACUGGAGGCUUCCAAAGGAUAAAUGGGGGCCCUGAAAGUUGAAGAGAUACGGUGACACACUGAGAAGGAGUCAAAGGGUGAAGGGCAUUGUGUUUGAAGAGAAGCUGAGCUGGAGGAAAGGGAGUGAGAAAAUCCUGGGGUUUGGUUUUUGGAAGGGCCAAGGUCUUGGCAGCUGAGACUUGGCCAGUGGAAGCCAAUGGGGCACAUCAAUCAGGCACACAUGGAGAGAGCCCUGGAUUAUGAACCAGAUCCUGGAGGUUGUUCCAGCUCUCCUUAUCCUAGCCAGGGAGACGACGAUUCUGCGAGAUGGCAGAAUAGAAAAGAGUGAGAUGCUUGGGCCUUGCUCACCUUAGUAACCAAAUCUUGCAGUUAAUGGCAAAAAGGAGAUGGAGUAAUUUUUAAAUCUUUUCGUAGGAAGGGAGAACGGAAGUGGAGUGACUUUUGGGGCUCAUAGAGUGGUUUUUUUUUAGUAAGAGUCCCAGUUUAUGCCUGUUGUCCCAAAGUAAUAAUUAAUGGCAUCCCCUUCCACUCUCAAAAGCGUCCUGGUUUGGUCAGUAAAGCAUGUACUUGUCCUGGCUAUCAUCACCUUAAAAAAGAAAAUGAAGAGAAUUGGUGACAAGGUUUAGUAAGAAAGAAAGGCCUGGAGGGAUUUGCUAGUGCAUGGUGCCCCGCACUGGGCUGGUUCACUGGGCCUUCUUCUGACUUGUUAUCAAACACUCCACCACCUCUGCUUCCUCUCUCUACACCCCUUGUUCAUCUCAUACUUGCUAACUUUGACUACUGCUCUCUACCCUCUCUUUCCCAAAACAUCCUCUACUUAACCUCUACGAGGUGCAUUCUUGCCUCCUGAUUGGACUGGUUCUGUCAGCCCCAGGCUUGCCAAGUUCCUGGAUUGGCCCAGCCAACACCCAAGCCCUCU